AGGGUUUGAUAUGGGCUCAGAACGAACGCUGGCAGCGUGGAUUAGGCAUGCAAGUCGAACGGGAAUCCGUGUAUUCAAUUCUUCGGAAGAGAACGUGCGGAAGAGAGUGGCGGAAGGGUGAGUAACGCGUGGGUAACUUGCCUCUGAGUUGGGGACAACCAGCCGAAAGGUUGGCUAAUACCGAAUAUGAUCUUCCAACGCAUGUUGGGAUGAUUAAAGGUGGGGAUCCUUCGGGACCUGCCGCUUAGAGAGAGGCCCGCGUACCAUCAGCUUGUUGGUGAGGUAAUGGCUCACCAAGGCUUACGGUUAGCUGGUCUGAGAGGAUGGUCAGCCACACUGGGACUGAGACACUGCCCAGACUCCUACGGGAGGCUGCAGUCGAGGAUCAUUUGCAAUGCGCGAAAGCGUGACAAUGCGACGCAGCGUGGAGGAUGACGGCCCUAGGGUUGUAAACUCCUGUCAUUUGGGAGCAAUAGCGGGACGGUUAAUAACCGCCCCGUGUGAUAGUACCAAAAGAGGAAGCCACGGCUAACUCUGUGCCAGCAGCCGCGGUAAUACAGAGGUGGCUAGCGUUGUUCGGAUUUACUGGGCGUAAAGCGUGCGUAGGUGGUACUGUAUGUCGGGUGUGAAAGCCCACCGCUCAACGGUGGAAUUGCGUCCGAAACUGCAGAACUUNGAGUACAGGGAGGGGAGAGCGGAAUUCUUGGUGUAGCGGUGAAAUGCGUUGAUAUCAAGAAGAACACCGGUGGCGAAGGCGGCUCUCUGGAAUG
RNAcentral lists this ribosomal RNA (770 nucleotides) under uncultured Verrucomicrobiae bacterium. RNAcentral describes it as "bacterial SSU rRNA". It matches the Rfam family "Bacterial small subunit ribosomal RNA", at positions 8 to 736 of the family's 1533-position model. The record is from RNAcentral. Lineage: Bacteria; Pseudomonadati; Verrucomicrobiota; Verrucomicrobiia.